RNAcentral lists this transfer RNA (68 nucleotides) under Marmota monax (woodchuck). RNAcentral describes it as "tRNA.Ala". Lineage: Eukaryota; Metazoa; Chordata; Mammalia; Rodentia; Sciuridae. The record is from RNAcentral.
GGAUUGUGGUUUAGUGGUAGAGCGCUUGCAUAGCAUGCAUGAGGCACUGGGUUUGAUCCCUAGCACCA